Molecule: ribosomal RNA, 802 nt
Filed under: actinobacterium 00YJV
Lineage: Bacteria; Bacillati; Actinomycetota; Actinomycetes
Description: bacterial SSU rRNA
Rfam family: Bacterial small subunit ribosomal RNA
Source: RNAcentral
UAGUGUGCUAACGGGUGAGUAACACGUGGGCAAUCUGCCCUUCACUCUGGGACAAGCCCUGGAAACGGGGUCUAAUACCGGAUAAUACUCCUGCCUGCAUGGGCGGGGGUUGAAAGCUCCGGCGGUGAAGGAUGAGCCCGCGGCCUAUCAGCUUGUUGGUGGGGUAAUGGCCCACCAAGGCGACGACGGGUAGCCGGCCUGAGAGGGCGACCGGCCACACUGGGACUGAGACACGGCCCAGACUCCUACGGGAGGCAGCAGUGGGGAAUAUUGCACAAUGGGCGAAAGCCUGAUGCAGCGACGCCGCGUGAGGGAUGACGGCCUUCGGGUUGUAAACCUCUUUCAGCAGGGAAGAAGCGAAAGUGACGGUACCUGCAGAAGAAGCGCCGGCUAACUACGUGCCAGCAGCCGCGGUAAUACGUAGGGCGCAAGCGUUGUCCGGAAUUAUUGGGCGUAAAGAGCUCGUAGGCGGCUUGUCACGUCGGAUGUGAAAGCCCGAGGCUUAACCUCGGGUCUGCAUUCGAUACGGGCUAGCUAGAGUGUGGUAGGGGAGAUCGGAAUUCCUGGUGUAGCGGUGAAAUGCGCAGAUAUCAGGAGGAACACCGGUGGCGAAGGCGGAUCUCUGGGCCAUUACUGACGCUGAGGAGCGAAAGCGUGGGGAGCGAACAGGAUUAGAUACCCUGGUAGUCCACGCCGUACACGUUGGGAACUAGGGUGUUGGCGACAUUCCACGUCGUCGGGUGCCGCAGCUAACGCAUUAAGUUCCCCGCUGGGGGAGUACGGCCGCAAGGCUAAAACUCAA